RNAcentral lists this ribosomal RNA (433 nucleotides) under uncultured bacterium. Its description in RNAcentral is "partial 16S ribosomal RNA". It matches the Rfam family "Bacterial small subunit ribosomal RNA", at positions 29 to 507 of the family's 1533-position model. The record is from RNAcentral.
AACGAACGCUGGCGGCAGGCCUAACACAUGCAAGUCGAGCGGACCCUUCGGGGUUAGCGGCGGACGGGUGAGUAACGCGUGGGAAUAUGCCCUUCUCUACGGAAUAGUCCUGGGAAACUGGGGGUAAUACCGUAUACGCCCUUUGGGGGAAAGAUUUAUCGGGGAAGGAUUAGCCCGCGUUGGAUUAGGUAGUUGGUGGGGUAAUGGCCUACCAAGCCGACGAUCCAUAGCUGGUUUGAGAGGAUGAUCAGCCACACUGGGACUGAGACACGGCCCAGACUCUUACGGGAGGCAGCAGUGGGGAAUCUUAGACAAUGGGGGCAACCCUGAUCUAGCCAUGCCGCGUGAGUGAUGAAGGCCUUAGGGUUGUAAAGCUCUUUCAGCUGGGAAGAUAAUGACGGUACCAGCAGAAGAAGCCCCGGCUAACUCCGUG